RNAcentral lists this ribosomal RNA (451 nucleotides) under rape rhizosphere bacterium cse011. Its description in RNAcentral is "bacterial SSU rRNA". It matches the Rfam family "Bacterial small subunit ribosomal RNA", at positions 27 to 475 of the family's 1533-position model. The record is from RNAcentral.
GAUUGAACGCUGGCGGCAUGCCUUACACAUGCAAGUCGAACGGUAACAGGUCUUCGGAUGCUGACGAGUGGCGAACGGGUGAGUAAUACAUCGGAACGUGCCCGAUCGUGGGGGAUAACGGAGCGAAAGCUUUGCUAAUACCGCAUACGAUCUACGGAUGAAAGCAGGGGACCGCAAGGCCUUGCGCGGACGGAGCGGCCGAUGGCAGAUUAGGUAGUUGGUGGGAUAAAAGCUUACCAAGCCGACGAUCUGUAGCUGGUCUGAGAGGACGACCAGCCACACUGGGACUGAGACACGGCCCAGACUCCUACGGGAGGCAGCAGUGGGGAAUUUUGGACAAUGGGCGAAAGCCUGAUCCAGCCAUGCCGCGUGCAGGAUGAAGGCCUUCGGGUUGUAAACUGCUUUUGUACGGAACGAAAAGACUCUGGUUAAUACCUGGGGUCCAUGACGG